RNAcentral lists this ribosomal RNA (253 nucleotides) under uncultured bacterium. RNAcentral describes it as "partial 16S ribosomal RNA". It matches the Rfam family "Bacterial small subunit ribosomal RNA", at positions 524 to 776 of the family's 1533-position model. The record is from RNAcentral.
UACAGAGGUCUCAAGCGUUGUUCGGAAUCACUGGGCGUAAAGGGUGCGUAGGUGGCGUGGCAAGUCAGAUGUGAAAGCCCGGGGCUCAACCUCGGAACUGCAUCCGAUACUGCCAUGCUGGAGUACUGAAGAGGUGACUAGAAUUCUCGGUGUAGCAGUGAAAUGCGUAGAUAUCGAGAGGAAUACCAAAGGCGAAGGCAGGUCACUGGGCAGUUACUGACACUGAGGCACGAAGGCCAGGGGAGCAAACGGG